RNAcentral lists this long non-coding RNA (435 nucleotides) under Equus asinus (donkey). RNAcentral describes it as "lncRNA (ENSEASG00005035669.1)". Lineage: Eukaryota; Metazoa; Chordata; Mammalia; Perissodactyla; Equidae. The record is from RNAcentral.
ACCACGCCCCCCAACCCCGCGCGCCAGCCGGGAGCGGGGCCUGGCGGCCUUGGGGGCCGGCUGAGCUCCCGGCGCGGCGGUCUGAAGAGUUGGCGGACGGGCGGUCGAAGCGCCGAGCCCGGGGCGGGAGACGGCGGCCGCGCUGACCUCUCGGCUUUGCGGGGCUUGGCGCAGAGGCCCGCGGGGUUCACUUCCUUGAAAGUGAAGAAAGUGAAAGAAACCUUUCUUGACUACUCCAUGGGCAAUAACAACCCCACCUACUCUUUUUUCUUAACAGGAAUUAGUUUAUUCAUGGAUGCUCAGGUUCAACAGGAGAUGAGAGAGGAACAAGAUGAUGGAGCAAUGGGAGACAGAACAGGAGGAUGUGAUUGAUUGUGUCAACAACAAAAGUGAACUUGAAGAAGAAGAUGAGAACAGAGCCAAGCAGUUAAGAUG